GCGUCCCUUUCCGCCAUCUCGCAAAUGGGCACCGGUCCCGGGAAAGGUGUUACCACAACCGUGAGUCAGGCUCCACACAGAGCUUGUGUCCACCGAUUUAUCACCGGUGGUGAUAGGUGGAGCGGUUAGCAGCAGGGACCGCAUAGUGAAACGCUAUUUAUGCAUCGCGUUCAUUGUCGCCAGCGCACUCGUUGUAAAGAGUGAUAAACCGGAUGUGUUUAUUGCCUUUACCCUGAUAGCGCAGGACAAGUAGCGUUAAGGCCGCCUCGGGCGGCCUUUUUU
Molecule: small RNA, 282 nt
Filed under: Enterobacter hormaechei
Lineage: Bacteria; Pseudomonadati; Pseudomonadota; Gammaproteobacteria; Enterobacterales; Enterobacteriaceae
Also listed under: 1 other name
Description: ryfA RNA
Rfam family: ryfA RNA
About the family: This family consists of a number of bacterial RNA genes of 305 bases in length. The ryfA RNA gene is present in E. coli, Shigella flexneri and Salmonella species where it is found between the ydaN and dbpA genes.
Source: RNAcentral